AUUGAACGCUGGCGGCAUGCCUUACACAUGCAAGUCGAACGGUAACGGGUCCUUCGGGAUGCCGACGAGUGGCGAACGGGUGAGUAAUAUAUCGGAACGUGCCCAGUAGUGGGGGAUAACUGCUCGAAAGAGCAGCUAAUACCGCAUACGACCUGAGGGUGAAAGGGGGGGAUCGCAAGACCUCUCGCUAUUGGAGCGGCCGAUAUCAGAUUAGCUAGUUGGUGGGGUAAAGGCCUACCAAGGCAACGAUCUGUAGUUGGUCUGAGAGGACGACCAGCCACACUGGGACUGAGACACGGCCCAGACUCCUACGGGAGGCAGCAGUGGGGAAUUUUGGACAAUGGGCGCAAGCCUGAUCCAGCAAUGCCGCGUGCAGGGAGAAGGCCUUCGGGUUGUAAACUGCUUUUGUCAGGGAAGAAAUCUUCUGGGCUAAUACCCCGGGAGGAUGACGGUACCUGAAGAAUAAGCACCGGCUAACUACGUG
RNAcentral lists this ribosomal RNA (484 nucleotides) under uncultured bacterium. RNAcentral describes it as "partial 16S ribosomal RNA". It matches the Rfam family "Bacterial small subunit ribosomal RNA", at positions 30 to 507 of the family's 1533-position model. The record is from RNAcentral.